AGGAUGAACGCUGGCGGCGUGCUUAACACAUGCAAGUCGAACGAUGAACCUCACUUGUGGGGGGAUUAGUGGCGAACGGGUGAGUAACACGUGAGUAACCUGCCCUUAACUCUGGGAUAAGCCUGGGAAACUGGGUCUAAUACUGGAUAUUGACUUUUCACCGCAUGGUGGUUUGUUGAAAGAUUUAUUGGUUUUGGAUGGACUCGCGGCCUAUCAGCUUGUUGGUGAGGUAAUGGCUUACCAAGGCGACGACGGGUAGCCGGCCUGAGAGGGUGACCGGCCACACUGGGACUGAGACACGGCCCAGACUCCUACGGGAGGCAGCAGUGGGGAAUAUUGCACAAUGGGCGAAAGCCUGAUGCAGCGACGCCGCGUGAGGGAUGACGGCCUUCGGGUUGUAAACCUCUUUCAGUAGGGAACAAGGCCAGCAUUUUUGUUGGUUGAGGGUACUUGCAGAAGAAGCGCCGGCUAACUACGUGCCAGC
Molecule: ribosomal RNA, 484 nt
Filed under: Arthrobacter sp. l43
Lineage: Bacteria; Bacillati; Actinomycetota; Actinomycetes; Micrococcales; Micrococcaceae
Description: bacterial SSU rRNA
Rfam family: Bacterial small subunit ribosomal RNA
Source: RNAcentral